Molecule: unclassified non-coding RNA, 500 nt
Filed under: uncultured Glomus
Lineage: Eukaryota; Fungi; Glomeromycota; Glomeromycetes; Glomerales; Glomeraceae
Description: SSU rRNA
Rfam family: Eukaryotic small subunit ribosomal RNA
Source: RNAcentral
CCAAUAGCGUAUAUUAAAGUUGUUGCAGUUAAAAAGCUCGUAGUUGAAUUUCGGGAUCAAUAUAUCGGUCAUGCCAUUGGUACGUACUGGUAUCAUUGGUUUCUCCUUUCUGACGAACCAUGAUGUCAUUAAUUUGGUGUUAUGGGAAGUUAGGACUGUUACUUUGAAAAAAUUAGAGUGUUUAAAGCAGGCUUUAGCUUGAAUACAUUAGCAUGGAAUAAUGAAAUAGGACGUUCGAACCUAUUUUGUUGGUUUCUAGGAUCAACGUAAUGAUUAAUAGGGAUAGUUGGGGGCAUUAGUAUUCAAUUGUCAGAGGUGAAAUUCUUGGAUUUAUUGAAGACUAACUACUGCGAAAGCAUUUGCCAAGGAUGUUUUCAUUAAUCAAGAACGAAAGUUAGGGGAUCGAAGACGAUCAGAUACCGUCGUAGUCUUAACCAUAAACUAUGCCGACUAGGGAUCGGAUGAUGUUAAUUUUUUAAUGACUCAUUCGGCGCCUUACG